Ribosomal RNA from Cricetulus griseus (Chinese hamster), 129 nucleotides. The record is from Ensembl. Lineage: Eukaryota; Metazoa; Chordata; Mammalia; Rodentia; Cricetidae.
GUCUAUGAACAUGUCACUCUGAAUGUGCCCAAUUUCAUCUAAUCUUAGAAGCCAAGCAGGGCUGGGGCUGCUUAGUAUUUGGACGGGAGAAUAUGAAUGCAGAGUGUGAGGGAAACGGUCAAAUGGACC